UACGUAGGGUGCAAGCGUUGCCCGGAUUUAUUGGGCGUAAAGGGCGCGUAGGCGGCUCGGCACGUCCGUUGUGAAAUCGCCCGGCUCAACUGGGCGGGGUCAGCGGAUACGGUCGAGCUUGAGCAAGCUAGGGGGCAAUGGAAUUCCCGGUGUAGUGGUGGAAUGCGUAGAGAUGUGGAGGAACACCUGUGGCGAAGGCGCCUUGCUGGCCGAUUUCUGACGCUGAGGCGCGAAAGCGUGGGGAGCAAACAGG
Molecule: ribosomal RNA, 253 nt
Filed under: uncultured bacterium
Lineage: Bacteria
Description: partial 16S ribosomal RNA
Rfam family: Bacterial small subunit ribosomal RNA
Source: RNAcentral